UCCGGCUCGAAGUCCACCGCUUCCGCAUCCGCGUUAGCCAUUCUCCCUCUAUUACUCUCUCAGUAUAUGCGUAUGCAGGGUAUGACCGUGGCGUGACGGAAUUGGGGGGAAUUUUUUAAAGUGCUCCCGCAAGAGAAAUCAGUAUGAUUUGAAGACCAGCAUUCAUAUCGAGUACUCCUAGCGAUGGCAACGAUACAGUAUUUGCGGU
This 208-nucleotide unclassified non-coding RNA is filed under the name Hevea brasiliensis (rubber tree). Lineage: Eukaryota; Viridiplantae; Streptophyta; Magnoliopsida; Malpighiales; Euphorbiaceae. The record is from RNAcentral.